UUUAUGGAGAGUUUGAUCCUGGCUCAGGAUGAACGCUGGCGGCGUGCCUAAUACAUGCAAGUCGAGCGAACAGAUAAGGAGCUUGCUCCUUUGACGUUAGCGGCGGACGGGUGAGUAACACGUGGGUAACCUACCUAUAAGACUGGAAUAACUCCGGGAAACCGGGGCUAAUGCCGGAUAACAUGUUGAACCGCAUGGUUCUACAGUGAAAGACGGUUUUGCUGUCACUUAUAGAUGGACCCGCGCCGUAUUAGCUAGUUGGUGGGGUAACGGCCUACCAAGGCGACGAUACGUAGCCGACCUGAGAGGGUGAUCGGCCACACUGGAACUGAGACACGGUCCAGACUCCUACGGGAGGCAGCAGUAGGGAAUCUUCCGCAAUGGGCGAAAGCCUGACGGAGCAACGCCGCGUGAGUGAUGAAGGUCUUCGGAUCGUAAAGCUCUGUUGUUAGGGAAGAACAAAUGUGUAAGUAACUGUG
RNAcentral lists this ribosomal RNA (479 nucleotides) under Staphylococcus pseudintermedius. RNAcentral describes it as "bacterial SSU rRNA". It matches the Rfam family "Bacterial small subunit ribosomal RNA", at positions 1 to 468 of the family's 1533-position model. The record is from RNAcentral. Lineage: Bacteria; Bacillati; Bacillota; Bacilli; Caryophanales; Staphylococcaceae.